GCAGAAUUAGUUUAAUGGUAGAAUAUAACCUUGCCAAGGUUAAGACGCGAGUUCGAUUCUCGUAUUCUGCUCCA
This 74-nucleotide transfer RNA is filed under the name Mycoplasmoides fastidiosum. RNAcentral describes it as "tRNA-Gly". It matches the Rfam family "tRNA". Rfam says of the family: Transfer RNA (tRNA) molecules are approximately 80 nucleotides in length. Their secondary structure includes four short double-helical elements and three loops (D, anti-codon, and T loops). Further hydrogen bonds mediate the characteristic L-shaped molecular structure. tRNAs have two regions of fundamental functional importance: the anti-codon, which is responsible for specific mRNA codon recognition, and the 3' end, to which the tRNAs corresponding amino acid is attached (by aminoacyl-tRNA synthetases). tRNAs cope with the degeneracy of the genetic code in two manners: having more than one tRNA (with a specific anti-codon) for a particular amino acid; and 'wobble' base-pairing, i.e. permitting non-standard base-pairing at the 3rd anti-codon position. Lineage: Bacteria; Bacillati; Mycoplasmatota; Mycoplasmoidales; Mycoplasmoidaceae. The record is from RNAcentral.